Molecule: long non-coding RNA, 387 nt
Filed under: Homo sapiens (human)
Lineage: Eukaryota; Metazoa; Chordata; Mammalia; Primates; Hominidae
Description: non-protein coding lnc-PKP1-2:1
Source: RNAcentral
AUGCCACCCAAAGGAACAAGUGGUUCUGGAAAAGGGGAAAGUGGAAGCAACCUCUGGGAGUGACAGUGCUGGCAAGAAGGCUCAGGGUCCCAAAGGCGGUGGCAAUGCAGCUAAGGUCAGACACACUCUGUGUGAACAACAUGGCAAAAUCACGGCAGUCAUGGAAAAGUUAAAGUCUGGGAUAAGAUUCAAUGAAGCAGCCUCACAAUAUAGUGAAGAUAAAGCCAGGCAAGGGGGCGACUUCGGUUGGAUGACGAGGGUCCAUGGUGGGGCCAUUGCAGGACGCAGCAUCUGUCUUGCCUGUAAGUGGGAUGGAUAAGCCUGUAUAACAUCCACCAGUUAAGACAAACUUUGGAUAUCAUAUUAUUCUGGUUAAAGGAAGAAAAU